UUUUUUUUUUUUUGGUAUUUUUCUACUCUGCGACAAACUGAAAAGAUUCGAGCACACACUAAUUUAACAACCCUGCUUCGUCGUCUUCUUUUUUUCCCCCUUCUGCUUCCCGGAUAAUUAAAAGAGAAACCUGUAAAGGCAACGUUCCUUCAAGCAAGUUGGUGCUGUAACGUGCUGUGUUCACAGACUCCUGCCAGCAGGGCAGAGCUGAGUGUCCAGCAGAAGUCCUGGGGCUACCUCAUCAAGGGAUUCUCACACCUCUGGCUCAUCCCACUUCCAAACAAAGACCUGGUGGCAUCAUCCAAGGUGUAAUCCUCCCAGACCUUUUCAAGCAUAGCCAGGCCUCUUCCAAACCCCAAGAGAUGGCUUUGAUAUAUAGAAAGGAGAGACAUUGAUCCAGGACACUUCAUCAUGCAAAUUCCAAAUAAAUUUGACUUGCUCAAGUGGACCAAAAGCAAAUGAUCUAGCAGAGAAACUUCCACUAGAGGCCUGAAGUGAGAGCCUUCGCUCAAAAGGACUAUGGGAAUCAACCUAAUAAAGUCAGCUGACAGCAGCCUGGACCUAUGGGAAGUUCUUGGCCUUUGGAUGUAGGACAAAAAAGCCAGAAUGAAACUUUUAAGUGCUGGACAGUCCCAGAGAUACUACCAGUAGCCAUUGUGAUAGGGAACAAAGCUCCAUGAUCCUGUAGGAAUUUUGUCCAGUAAAACCAUUUUCAGUAUUUUGGACUGGCCUCCAAGCAAUACAAAAAUGGGGAUAGUUCUCCUCCUCUUCCCAUGACUGUGAUGUGUGGGGAAAACACAUAUUGCUCUGCAACAGGCCACAUGACUGCUGCUUUUUUUCCCUCAAUGAUGUAAUACCUCCACAAUUAUAAUCAUUCCAUGUUCUUAAUGCUCUCGUAUUAGGCCAAUUCACCAACAUUUACUGUUUAUAAGCAAAAAAUAAAUGUGUUUAAUUUUGUUGAAAGUGCAUGCUGUUCCUUAACUCUUCAUGUUUUUCUGGGCCCUUCUGAGUUCUCAUACCAUUUGAACCAUUUUGCUAACUAGAAAACAGAUUAGAAGCUCAUCUACUCCAGUGGACAAGAGAAAUUACUGUUGCUAACAGUCUUUUCUAUAAAUAUACUCA
This is a long non-coding RNA of Cyanistes caeruleus (blue tit), 1122 nucleotides long. RefSeq lists it as uncharacterized. Lineage: Eukaryota; Metazoa; Chordata; Aves; Passeriformes; Paridae. The record is from RefSeq and is a predicted model, not a curated record.